Molecule: ribosomal RNA, 1493 nt
Filed under: uncultured prokaryote
Description: partial 16S ribosomal RNA
Rfam family: Bacterial small subunit ribosomal RNA
Source: RNAcentral
CGCCCUUAUGGUUUGAUCCUGGCUCAGGAUGAACGCUAGCGGCAGGCUUAACACAUGCAAGUCGAGGGGUAACGAUAGUGCUUGCACUAGGCGACGACCGGCGCACGGGUGAGUAACGCGUAUGCAACCUACCCAUAACUGGGGGAUAGCUUUCGGAAACGAAAAUUAAUACCCCAUAGUAUUAUAAUAUCGCAUGAUAUAAUAAUUAAAGUUUCGACGGUUAUGGAUGGGCAUGCGUGCCAUUAGCUAGUUGGUGAGGUAACGGCUCACCAAGGCAACGAUGGCUAGGGGUUCUAAAAGGAAGGUCCCCCACACUGGUACUGAGACACGGACCAGACUCCUACGGGAGGCAGCAGUGAGGAAUAUUGGUCAAUGGGCGCAAGCCUGAACCAGCCAUGCCGCGUGCAGGAUGACAGCCCUACGGGUUGUAAACUGCUUUUAUAUGGGAAGAAAAUGAUCUACGUGUAGAUAACUGACGGUACCAUAAGAAUAAGCAUCGGCUAACUCCGUGCCAGCAGCCGCGGUAAUACGGAGGGUCCAAGCGUUAUCCGGAUUCAUUGGGUUUAAAGGGUCCGCAGGCGGGAAAAUAAGUCAGUGGUGAAAGCCUGCAGCUUAACUGUAGAACUGCCAUUGAAACUGUUUUUCUUGAGUCUAGAUGAAGUGGGCGGAAUGUGUCAUGUAGCGGUGAAAUGCAUAGAUAUGACACAGAACACCGAUUGCGAAGGCAGCUCACUAAACUAGUACUGACGCUGAUGGACGAAAGCGUGGGGAGCGAACAGGAUUAGAUACCCUGGUAGUCCACGCCGUAAACUAUGAUUACUCGGUGUAGGCGACAUACUGUCUGCGCCCAAGCGAAAGUGAUAAGUAAUCCACCUGGGGAGUACGAUCGCAAGGUUGAAACUCAAAGGAAUUGACGGGGGCCCGCACAAGCGGUGGAGCAUGUGGUUUAAUUCGAUGAUACGCGAGGAACCUUACCUGGGCUUAAAUGCAUAAUGACCGUCUCGGAAACGAGACUUUCUUCGGACACGGUCUGCAAGGUGCUGCAUGGUUGUCGUCAGCUCGUGCUGUGAGGUGUCGGGUUAAGUCCCAUAACGAGCGCAACCCCUAUUCUUAGUUGCCAGCGGAUAAUGCCGGGGACUCUAAGAAAACUGCCCGUGCAAACGGUGAGGAAGGUGGGGAUGACGUCAAAUCAGCACGGCCCUUAUGUCCAGGGCUACACACGUGCUACAAUGGUAGAUACAAAGGGCAGCUACUUGGUGACAAGAUGCUAAUCUCUAAAGUCUAUCUCAGUUCGGAUUGAAGUCUGCAAUUCGACUUCAUGAAGUUGGAUUCGCUAGUAAUCGUAUAUCAGCCAUGAUACGGUGAAUACGUUCCCGGGCCUUGUACACACCGCCCGUCAAGCCAUGGAAGUUUGGGGUGCCUAAAGUCCGUAACCGUAAGGAGCGGCCUAGGGUAAAACUGGUAACUGGGGCUAAGUCGUAACAAGGUAGCCG